CACGUAGGGCGCAAGCGUUGUCCGGAAUUAUUGGGCGUAAAGAGCUCGUAGGCGGUCUGUUGCGUCCGCUGUGAAAACUCGGGGCUUAACCCCGAGCCUGCAGUGGAUACGGGCAGACUAGAGUGUGGUAGGGGAGACUGGAAUUCCUGGUGUAGCGGUGAAAUGCGCAGAUAUCAGGAGGAAUACCCAUAGCGAAGGCAGCUCGCUGGGACGUUACUGACGCUGAGGCGCGAAAGCGUGGGGAGCGAACAGG
RNAcentral lists this ribosomal RNA (253 nucleotides) under uncultured bacterium. Its description in RNAcentral is "partial 16S ribosomal RNA". It matches the Rfam family "Bacterial small subunit ribosomal RNA", at positions 524 to 776 of the family's 1533-position model. The record is from RNAcentral.